CCUACGGGUGGCAGCAGUGAGGAAUAUUGGGCAAUGGAGGCAACUCUGACCCAGCAACGCCGCGUGAAGGAUGAAGGUGCUCGGAUUGGAAGAUUCUGUGAUGGGGGAUGAACACAAUGACGGUACCCCGAUAGCAAGCAACGGCGAACUACGUGCCAGCAGCAGCGAUAAGACGUAGGUGGCAAGCGUUAUCCGGACUGACGGGGCGGAAAGGGUGUUUGGGUGGUUUCGUAAGUUGGGGGGGUAUUUACGGGGCGCAACCCCGGCCGUGCCGACAAACCUAUUAGACUAGAGUGCAGGGGGGGCAAGCGGAAUGCCUAGUGUAGCGGUGGAAUGCGUAGAUAUUAGGAGGAACAUCAGGGGCGAAGGCGACUUGCUGGACUGUAACUGACACUGAGGCACGAAAGCGCGGGGAGCGAACAGGAUUAGAUACCCGUGUAGUC
This 443-nucleotide ribosomal RNA is filed under the name uncultured bacterium. Its description in RNAcentral is "partial 16S ribosomal RNA". It matches the Rfam family "Bacterial small subunit ribosomal RNA", at positions 338 to 795 of the family's 1533-position model. The record is from RNAcentral.